This 532-nucleotide ribosomal RNA is filed under the name uncultured Bacteroidota bacterium. Its description in RNAcentral is "bacterial SSU rRNA". It matches the Rfam family "Bacterial small subunit ribosomal RNA", at positions 224 to 753 of the family's 1533-position model. The record is from RNAcentral. Lineage: Bacteria; Pseudomonadati; Bacteroidota.
GAUGAGCAUGCGUCCCAUUAGCUAGUUGGUAAGGUAACGGCUUACCAAGGCUACGAUGGGUAGGGGUCCUGAGAGGGAGAUCCCCCACACUGGUACUGAGACACGGACCAGACUCCUACGGGAGGCAGCAGUGAGGAAUAUUGGACAAUGGGCGCAAGCCUGAUCCAGCCAUGCCGCGUGCAGGAUGACGGUCCUAUGGAUUGUAAACUGCUUUUGUACGGGAAGAAACACUCCUUCGUGAAGGAGCUUGACGGUACCGUAAGAAUAAGGAUCGGCUAACUCCGUGCCAGCAGCCGCGGUAAUACGGAGGAUCCAAGCGUUAUCCGGAAUCAUUGGGUUUAAAGGGUCCGUAGGCGGUUUAGUAAGUCAGUGGUGAAAGCCCAUCGCUCAACGGUGGAACGGCCAUUGAUACUGCUAGACUUGAAUUAUUAGGAAGUAACUAGAAUAUGUAGUGUAGCGGUGAAAUGCUUAGAGAUUACAUGGAAUACCAAUUGCGAAGGCAGGUUACUACUAAUGGAUUGACGCUGAUGGA